UCGCCGCUCCGCACAUGCUGAGAACGCCCGGAUUCCCGGAACGAUACAUGCGGCUUCCGUUGCAGGAUUGCAGGAGCUCGUCUGCCGCUACGGUUGCGAAAUGAGCCGUUACUCCGUUAGUCGAGCAGCUACAGCAGAAGCUAGAUCCAGGUCCUGCACGGCAACAAAACGCUCGCCGGCUCCAGUACCGUCUGUCCGUCUCGCAGACAGGACGAGCUGCCGAG
This 224-nucleotide long non-coding RNA is filed under the name Setaria italica (foxtail millet). RNAcentral's name for it is "long non-coding RNA (SITA_LNC006475)". The record is from RNAcentral. Lineage: Eukaryota; Viridiplantae; Streptophyta; Magnoliopsida; Poales; Poaceae.